GCCGGAAGUGACAGUGCAGACGCUGGCAACACAGACGGUCCCGCUGUACACCGACCUGCCGGGCCGCACCGCUGCCUAUCGCGUUGCCGAAGUGCGUCCGCAGGUGAGCGGCAUCGUACUGAAGCGCCUGUUUACCGAAGGCAGCGAAGUCCAGGCCGGACAGCAGCUGUACCAGAUUGA
This 180-nucleotide non-coding RNA is filed under the name Insolitispirillum peregrinum. Its description in RNAcentral is "Insolitospirillum peregrinum Burkholderia RNA 14". It matches the Rfam family "Burkholderia RNA 14". From Rfam's summary of the family: Co-purified with Hfq, expression confirmed by Northern blot. Putative functional homologue of PA-SraF. The record is from Rfam by way of RNAcentral. Lineage: Bacteria; Pseudomonadati; Pseudomonadota; Alphaproteobacteria; Rhodospirillales; Novispirillaceae.